GUUUAAAUAUCUUAAUGAUAUAAAGUAUGGUAUUGAAGCUACCAAGAUGGCUAUUGCCUUUAAAUA
This 66-nucleotide transfer RNA is filed under the name Speleketor irwini. Its description in RNAcentral is "tRNA-Phe". Lineage: Eukaryota; Metazoa; Arthropoda; Insecta; Psocodea; Prionoglarididae. The record is from RNAcentral.